Long non-coding RNA from Aegilops tauschii subsp. strangulata, 2551 nucleotides. RefSeq lists it as uncharacterized. NCBI's taxonomy places the organism in Eukaryota, Viridiplantae, Streptophyta, Magnoliopsida, Poales, Poaceae. The record is from RefSeq and is a predicted model, not a curated record.
CCAUGGGCCAGAUGUUUUGUCCCAUCGAAAACAAAAGUGAAAUCAACUCCUCGCUAUUCAUCAUAGUCUCAAAAAAGACUCGGUCUCGUACGUAUCUUCAACCCUCGUAUGAGAUGGCUCCGCCGCCGCCGCCUAAGACCGCAGCCCCGCCCCCGGCAGUCCGGCACCUCUCCUCUCCCGGCGGCCCUCCUUCACCGCAGUCUCCUCUACUCGGCCAUGUCCGCCCAAGUCUCCUCCCCCUUGUUGCACCUAUCAGCGGCGACCGCGAUGCCCGUCGACCACCAACAGCCGCCCAAGUUAUCUAUGGGUUCUCUAAGGGACUGGCCUGGGUCCUCUGCUUUCGGCCGGUGUCGGUGCAAGCUGAAACUCAUUCGUGGCAGGGAGGAGCAGAUCAAGGCCUCCCAAUAGGCGCAGGAUCAAGUCAUGAAACUUGCAUCAUCUUUACAUCACCAUGUAGUUGGGUGUAACGUGAGUUCUGCUCUUAUUCUACAUUGUGAGAGGAGCGACGCUGCCGGUGCGUGGCGACGAGAGGCUCCUGGUGCUCGACAAGGUGCCUGAGCAGGAGACACCUUGAUUAAUACAUCAUCGUUCCCCAUGCCAUAUGCCGGUGGAUGGAAACAGAGGUGUUCAAGCGAGUCGGCGACAUGUCUGCCGUGCCAGCACAGCUCAGCUCCGAAGAUAUAAUAGGCCCAGCAAAUAACAUCGCAUAAUUUAGGCAAGCGAAAUACAGCUGUUAAAUGCCUCCAUGUUGUAUUGCACACCCAUUUCAUAAUACUUUUUGACAUAAGUAUAAACAUCUGCAAGCCUACUGUUCUUCUGCGUGUUAAAUUGAAUAAGAUUAUGAUGUUAUAGUGUUGCUGCUUAUGCGUUGUGCAGCAGACGUUUCCUUUGUCCCAUCAAGGACGCAGAUCAUACAUUAGCAUGCUCAAGUUGAAAUGACUUGACAUAGGCAAGAAACUUCCACACAUUUUCUCUUCCAUUCACACUUAUUGGGGUUUCUUAUAGGUUUUAAAUCUUGAAGCUUACAUGGUCACUAAUAUGGGCAUGUUCUGUUAAAUCACUAACCUUGAUUUCAGUCUUUAGGCAUUAUGACGAAACUUCAACAUUGAAGAUUGUGAAAGGUGAUUUUUUUUUUCAUUUCCUUUGACGUAUAUUUAAGUCUUUUUUCCCCUCUUCUGUUUCAUGUUCCAUUAAUUCAAAUAUGUUCUAUUGCCUGGUGAAUAUUUAUUCUGUUUUAGUGGCUGACUAAUUGGCCCUUUGCUGAUCAAUAUAGUUCCCUUUGAAUGGCAUGAAAGAAGAGGAAUAAUGGUUGCUUCCCGUGCUUAAUAAUUGUAUAUAUAUGCUGUACAUAUAAACUGAUCGCUUUAUCUAAUUACAGGGCAGCUACAUUGCAAAGUAUUAAGUAAUAACCUGUUAUCUUUUUCGCUUUUUUUGCUAUAUCACUUAACAAUUGCUGUUGUUGUUAAUUUAGCUUGACACAAGUAUGUGAUUUGCCAUUUCAUUUGGUACAUUGAAGCUUGGGCCUUUUGCCUUUUGUGUUCUCAUCUGUCAUUAUAUUGCAUACAUUUAUGAUCAUUUUUUCGCAAAUUAUAUAGUGGCAUGCUUUAACCAUGACUAUUAUCUUCAUGCAGACAUGCAGUGAACUUCAAUUGGAUAAUAAUGAUGGUUUUAAUUUUUGACUCAACAUGCGGAAGAGAUUCAAAAUAGUUUUUUUUUCCAGUGAAUACAUACAUUAUAGCGAGCAUUAGGGUUUUGACCAUGCACGAGCAAUGUAUAAGAAAGUAGAUGCAGAGGAAUAUUUUAUGAGCAAUUCAAUGUGUUUUAACUGUAACACUAAAAUAUACCGUAUAUAUCUUUAUUCAUUUUUUUUGCAUUUGACAUAUAUGAUCUUGUAUAAAGCUGAAUAAAGUUUUUAGUUGAGUUGAUCCUUGACAAGCUCAAAUCCAUCACGGGGCUGGGGCUCGUCAGCGACGUGUUAAGGGAUCUGGCACACGUCAAUAGCCCCCAUGGCCAGGCCACCAUUGGCCACAUCCGCUACUCCACCUCCGGUGGCGAUGCCCAGCUGUGCAACAUGGUGCCGUUCCUUGCCGGACACCGGUUCGGGCAGCUCGCCGUGGAGCACAACGACAACCUGGUGAACUAGUUGCCUUUGCGCCACAAGCUGGAGGCGCAUGGCUCCAUCUUCAACAACUCAGAGGUCAUCCUCCACCUCAUCACCAGAUCCUCCACAAUAUGGAUGCAUGGGUUCUACCUAGGUUUCAUGGAAGUGUGUGUAUGUCGAAUGCAAGAGAUGGAGGCUUUGAAUAAGAAGAGCACAAUACCUUUCUGUGAAGCCCUUUGAUAUCCUUGCCAGGCAUGCGUUCUUUCACCCACUUCAAAAUUUACGUAGAUAGGGAGCAUCUGUGCGCACUUGUUGGGCCAUUCAUGUGAGCCAUCUCUGUAUGAUCAACCCAUGCUAGCCUCUAUUAACUUUAAAUACCUUAUGCAUCUCUCCUUCACAUGGAUUCAGAGUGAAAUAAUGGAUAACACACUAAAUAUUAUAUGCUUUCUA